RNAcentral lists this ribosomal RNA (497 nucleotides) under uncultured bacterium. RNAcentral describes it as "partial 16S ribosomal RNA". It matches the Rfam family "Bacterial small subunit ribosomal RNA", at positions 28 to 507 of the family's 1533-position model. The record is from RNAcentral.
GAUGAACGCUGGCGGCGUGCCUAAUACAUGCCAGUCGAGCGAACAGACGAGGAGCUUGCUCCUCUUACGUUAGCGGCGGACGGGUGAGUAACACGUGGAUAACCUACCUAUAAGACUGGGAUAACUUCGUGAAACCGGAGCUAAUACCGGAUAAUAUAUUGAACCGCAUGGUUCAAUAGUGAAAGACGGUUUUGCUGUCACUUAUAGAUGGAUCCGCGCCGCAUUAGCUAGUUGGUAAGGUAACGGCUUACCAAGGCAACGAUGCGUAGCCGACCUGAGAGGGUGAUCGGCCACACUGGAACUGAGACACGGUCCAGACUCCUACGGGAGGCAGCAGUAGGGAAUCUUCCGCAAUGGGCGAAAGCCUGACGGAGCAACGCCGCGUGAGUGAUGAAGGUCUUCGGAUCGUAAAACUCUGUUAUUAGGGAAGAACAAAUGUGUAAGUAACUAUGCACGUCUUGACGGUACCUAAUCAGAAAGCCACGGCUAACUACGUG